Molecule: small nuclear RNA, 107 nt
Filed under: Propithecus coquereli (Coquerel's sifaka)
Lineage: Eukaryota; Metazoa; Chordata; Mammalia; Primates; Indriidae
Source: RNAcentral
GUGCUCGCUUCAGCAGCACAUAUACUAAAAUUAGAACGAUAUAGAGAAGAUUAGCAUGGCCCCUGGGCAAGUAAUAAGUGAAAUAAAAAAAAAAGAACCUGGGCUUC